Molecule: ribosomal RNA, 492 nt
Filed under: uncultured bacterium
Lineage: Bacteria
Description: partial 16S ribosomal RNA
Rfam family: Bacterial small subunit ribosomal RNA
Source: RNAcentral
AGUGAACGCUGGCGGUAGGCCUAACACAUGCAAGUCGAACGGCAGCACAGUAAGAGCUUGCUCUUACGGGUGGCGAGUGGCGGACGGGUGAGGAAUACAUCGGAAUCUACUUUUUCGUGGGGGAUAACGUAGGGAAACUUACGCUAAUACCGCAUACGACCUACGGGUGAAAGCAGGGGAUCUUCGGACCUUGCGCGAUUGAAUGAGCCGAUGUCGGAUUAGCUAGUUGGCGGGGUAAAGGCCCACCAAGGCGACGAUCCGUAGCUGGUCUGAGAGGAUGAACAGCCACACUGGAACUGAGACACGGUCCAGACUCCGACGGGAGGCAGCAGUGGGGAAUAUUGGACAAUGGGCGCAAGCCUGAUCCAGCCAUACCGCGUGGGUGAAGAAGGCCUUCGGGUUGUAAAGCCCUUUUGUUGGGAAAGAAAAGCAGCAGGUUAAUACCCCGCUGUUCUGACGGUACCCAAAGAACAAGCACCGGCUAACUUCGUG